Molecule: ribosomal RNA, 683 nt
Filed under: Carnobacterium divergens
Lineage: Bacteria; Bacillati; Bacillota; Bacilli; Lactobacillales; Carnobacteriaceae
Description: bacterial SSU rRNA
Rfam family: Bacterial small subunit ribosomal RNA
Source: RNAcentral
UGCGGCGUGGCCUAAUACAUGCAAGUCGAACGCACGAAGUUGAAAAGCUUGCUUUUCGACCAAGUGAGUGGCGGACGGGUGAGUAACACGUGGGUAACCUGCCCAUAAGAGGGGGAUAACAUUCGGAAACGGAUGCUAAUACCGCAUAUUUCAAGUGACCGCAUGGUCGCUUGAUGAAAGGUGGCUUCGGCUACCACUUAUGGAUGGACCCGCGGUGCAUUAGUUAGUUGGUGAGGUAAUGGCUCACCAAGACCAUGAUGCAUAGCCGACCUGAGAGGGUGAUCGGCCACACUGGGACUGAGACACGGCCCAGACUCCUACGGGAGGCAGCAGUAGGGAAUCUUCCGCAAUGGACGAAAGUCUGACGGAGCAAUGCCGCGUGAGUGAAGAAGGUUUUCGGAUCGUAAAACUCUGUUGUUAGAGAAGAACAAGGAUGAGAGUAACUGCUCAUCCCCUGACGGUAUCUAACCAGAAAGCCACGGCUAACUACGUGCCAGCAGCCGCGGUAAUACGUAGGUGGCAAGCGUUGUCCGGAUUUAUUGGGCGUAAAGCGAGCGCAGGCGGUUCUUUAAGUCUGAUGUGAAAGCCCCCGGCUCAACCGGGGAGGGUCAUUGGAAACUGGAGAACUUGAGUGCAGAAGAGGAGAGUGGAAUUCCAUGUGUAGCGGUGAAAUGGCGUAGAUA